GGAACUCGGUAGCUGAGUCACUCAGGUUGGUUAUUGUUGACAGGGAAGGAUCCGCCUAUAGAGAAAAUGCCAAGCAGCAGAUGGUAACAUUAUUUGGUGAUAAGAGUAUCAGCGAUCGAUGCAUGGACCAAUUUGUUGCCUUCCUACGAAGUCAUAGAAAAUUGCCAGCAGUGAUUAACAAUGACCUGCCCACGCACUCGCCAAACUGACACGUGUCAAUGCUUAUGUGUCGUGUCAUCUGGUUCUUCACUAGGUUUUUUUAAAAAGAGUCCGGAGGUUUAGACUCUAGAGUGCCUUUUUACUGUGUUUUUUUGUUUGUUUGUCUGUUUAUGUAGUGUAUAAAUAGACCAUUGAGUCGCUUCCUGAAACUAAAAUUUGUUUUCGAGAAAUUUAUGUAUUAUAUUAUAUCUAAAUAUUUACUUUAUUAAUUAUUAACAAAAAAACUGGAACUUCAAAAAACACAAAGGUACUACAAAAUUGAAAGCCGUGAUUGUCGGCAGGCAUUUGCGAAGAGAGGGGCCAUCAGCCAUGGCCCGUAGGAAGGAGGACUGUGGCUAAGAUUCCUUUAGGUUUUUUACCUGUCUCCCUCACUAAUAUUUUACUUUCUUCUGAAAAAAGGAAUUGCACAUUAAUCUCAUAUCUAAUUUCCAGCAAAUUCAUGCUAAUUAAAAAUCAUAUUUUCAUAUUGAAACAUUUUAACACAGAAAGAUCCACCGACAUUUGAAAAUUUCCCUUUCUGUUUAUUACACAACUUUCUCUGGAAAAUAAAUAGUCAGGUUCACAGAAAGCUUGGGGAAAUUUCUCACCGAUUAGUCACUGAUAGAAAGCCUAAACACGUGUUCUGCAAUGAUCUGCGCAGAUCCGUUAAUCUCCGGUGGGCGGUCAUUCACGAGGAAAUUUAAUUACGAGCGAUGGCAUUAUUGGCAUGCCCUACUCAAUUAUUUUUUGAGAAGUGACAUCUUAACUCCCUAUGCUCCAAAGGAAUACCUACCUACAAGAUCCCAAGCCAAGAGAAAAUGGAACGAAGAUGUCCACAUCAAAUAUAUAUAUAUAAAGAAGGAGGAGGAGGAGGAGGAGGAGGAACGAAGAUGUGAAAUGCAGGAGUCCAGAUCGAAGCCCACAUCAAAUAUAUAUAUAUAUAUAUAUAUAUAUAUAUAUAUAUAUAUAUAUAUAAGAUGGAGCCACGAAAAGCCACGUUAGGAAGGAAAAUAAAACAAAUCAGGAGUCAAGAUCGAAGCCCACACUUGAGAGAAGAUAAGAUUAUAAUUGAGCUGCUGGCCUGAGGCCUGUGGGUGUGCAUGCACCAGAGACAGUUGGAUAGGAGACAGACAGAGAUCAGACAUCUUGGUUUUGCAUUAGGUCCCCAUGUCAGUAAAUUUCAAACAAUUUAAGACAGAGACAGAGAAUUUAUUAAAUUAUUUUUUUUAAUAAUUUAAGACCAUAUAAUUUUAAGAUUCAAUAAAUUUAAUUUCCUUACUUUUCUCUGUGUCCGUCUCUAAUUGUGAGCCAAAGCUGUCGCAAAUCAUCCAUUUUGGAUAAUAAAUACAGUGUGCCACACAUUAAGCCCUUAACUCAAAAAACCAUGGGUACAAGAUUAUAACAGACCCACAGAGAGAAAAGCAAAAAAUAAAAUUAAAGCUGAGAUUAAUUCUCAAAAACAUAUAUGAUGAAGCAUGAAAUUGAGAUUUGUUUUUUUAAAAAAAUCAAAACUAAUCUAUGUUAACCAUUAAAACUUGUAACCUUAAUCAAGAGGCCAAAACCGACCAUAUAGAAGACAGAUCUUGAAAACUACAAAGCAAAAUUCUUAAUAAAAAAAAUAUGUUUAGAGAUGAAAUUAAAAAAAUAUUUAAAAAAAACAAUGAAAAAAAAUUAAAGUAAACUCGAGAUCAAGUUAACCCCACGACAAGGAAAGUGAAAAAAAAAAGCAUGAAGACCAAUAUAAAAAAAAAUUUGAAGGAUAAAAUUGAAAAUAAAUCAAAUUUAUAAACGAAUCUAGAAAACAAAUAUCAACCCAUAUUAAUUUUUGAAACCUGUGACUUGGCCAUAAGACUGUAGCUAACCUUAUAGAAGUGAAAAAACAAUGAAAAAAAAUUAUCAACAAAAAAAAUAUCAAGGAAUUAAAUUGGAACAAAAAUACAAUAAAAAAGCAUUCUAAGCAAAACAAUACAAUAAUAAAAAAUAGGAACCAAUCUCGAUAUAAAAAUAAAUUUAAAUCAAAUACUUAGAGAUACAAUUAAAAACAAAGUUUAAUUAGUAAAAAAGCAAAAAAAAUCAAUACAUUAAAGACCGGGUUUGAUAUGAAUAUCAAAUUAAAAUAAUGACAAAGAUAAAAAUAAAAAUAAAAAUUAAUUAAUAUAAGAUAAAAAAACAAAAAAACGUAAUAAUAAAAAAAUUUGAUUCAAAGGAUAUCAAAGUUGUUUUACUUUGUAUAAUGUAAAAAGACAAAUACAUCCCAUUAAUGUGUUAAUGCCCAAUAGACCCUUAUUAAAAGACCAAAAUAGUCUUUAGGUAUUUGGUUUGCUUUUAGAAAGAUAAAACAGAAAUGCUGGUGUAUUUAUUUUUUCAGUUAAAAAAUGCUUUAAAUUUAAUUAUAUAUAUGUUUUUAGAUUGUUUUGAUGAUAAAAAUAACUUUUAAAAAAUAAUAAAAAUCUAUAUUAAAAACUUUAAAAAACAUCUAUUAAUACAAUUUCAAAGAGUACGAGCCAGCUUCCCCAUCAAAUACUCGUUGUUAUACAUAGACAGCAAACAACAUACAGAAUUCACUUGCGGCUCUGUACUAGAGACAGCAUCAGUCAAUACCACCAGAUCUGGAAGAAUUUUUCAUUCGCAGCCAAAACCUACCAAUACUAAUAUAACUCGUAGUCAAUAGCAUCUUGCAACGACGAUCCCUCCGUAUCUUGUGAUCCUGCCCUGCAAAGAAAAGGGGCAGUGAUAAAAUAUAAAUGUAAAAUACAAUACACACACACACGCACCAAUCCAUAAUGAUCAUCUGCAAUGCCUUGCACCGACCCGUUUGGUUGCAUAACUAACCGUUGUUGCAAGUAAGGUACGCUCGUUGACGAACGGCGACGACGUCUUAUCUAAAAUAUACAUGAAACAUAUUUAUUUAUUUAAUCUUUCCUGUUUUUCUGAGAAUGAAAUGAAUUGGCUUGAUUAUUUACACUGCAGAUGAAUGAACCCUUUGUUUUCUGCAGAAGAGAAAAGGCCGAAGGGGGCAUUUUGAAUUUGGCACCCCUUAGUUUUGGGCUUCUGGCGGUCCCAUGUCCAGACCAUCCUUGGGCCUUUUGUUUUUGGGCUACACGAAGGGAAGUUGAGCGCUUAUGCUGAAAUCUUGUGCCCUUGUCUUCAGGGCUUCAAGCCGGCCAUCCCUAUGGCUAGGAGUCAGGAACUUUAAUUAUCGCGCCUAAAUUUUAAUUUGUUUUUUUUUAAGUUAUAAAACAGAUUGUGAGAUUUUUUUAGAAAAAUAAAAUAAUCUUUAAAUAAAACGUGAAGCAUUAUCUUUAUCUGAUUUAAUAAUAAAUAAACGAAUUUAAUAGUAUGGCUCAUUUUUCAUUAAUUUAUAAUGGUUUAGAUUCUUUUUCAUAUCUAUGUAAUAACCAGUUUUCUCAUAUGUAUUCUUAAAUUAGAGAAUUUCGAAGAGCUUUUAUUUCUUAUCCAUAUAAUAGAAUGGAGUGGUUGUUGUUAUCGUCCUCGUCGUCAUGAUGGGAGGAUAGUAAUAUAUCAGGUAUUAAUGAAGUCAUCGAUUUUCAUGUAAAAAAAUUUACAAUAAUAAUUCAAUUUCGAAAUAAAAAACUCUCAUUCGCUAGCUAUAUAUAUAUAUACACAUGGAAUACAGGAUAAGAAGCUAAAGCCACAAAAGCAUUUAGAUCAGGAAGUAUCAAUGGAUGAACCUCACGAGCUCCACAUAGCCAUGUUCCCAUGGCUUGCUUUCGGUCAUAUAAUCCCAUAUCUAGAGAUCGCCAAGCUAACAUCCAACGUUUACCAACUAUACCUCCAAAUUUAACACCGCGAAUCAAUUUUUAAUGCAUGGACCAUAUCCUUCUCUGGACCAUCAUCCUCAGCUAUGCUCAACGGCGACGAUCCAAGGACCGAACCGCAACACCUCACGGUCCCUCCAAAGUGGGUCACAUUUCCCUCUAAAGUGGCAUUUCGCAUCCAUGAAGCUAAGCGGUUUAUGGAUCAAAUUGAAGCGAACAGUUCAGGUGUCACUGAUGUAUUUCGUUGGGGAUCCGUGCUUGCUGGCUGUGAUGUUAUAGCCGUAAGGAGCUGCUUAGAGCUAGAGGCUGAUUUCAUAAGACUUGUGGAAGACCUUCACUGUAAGCCUGUAAUCCCAGUAGGCCUACUGCUACCAUCUACUCAGUCUCGCGAGGGCGGAGUGGACGAAAAAUGGGUUACGAUCAGUGAGUGGCUAGACAAGCAAACCCAAGGAUCUGUGGUUUACAUAGCGUUCGGAAGCGAGUUAACAAUAAAUCAAAAUGAAAUAACUGAAUUGGCUCUGGGGUUAGAGUUAUCAGGGCUGCCGUUCUUUUGGGCUUUCAGGAACCGGGAUGACUCGGUCAGGUUACCAGAUGGAUUUGAGGAACGAGUAAAAGGACGUGGAGUGGUGUGGACGAGCUGGGCACCACAACUAAGGAUUAUGGCUCAUGAAUCGGUCGGUGGUUUUUUGACUCACUGCGGCUUUAGCUCAGUUGCAGAGGCACUCUCCUUUGGACUAGCUUUGAUCAUGUUACCUUUCGCUAUAGACCAAGGAUUAAUCGCAAGGGUUUUUGAAGAGAAGAAGGUUGGGAUAGAAGUGCCGAGAGAUGAGCAGGACGGGUCGUUUACGAGGAACUCGGUAGCUGAGUCACUCAGGUUGGUUAUUGUUGACAAGGAAGGAUCCGCGUAUAGAGAAAAUGCCAAGCAGCAGAUGGUGACAUUAUUUGGUGAUAAGAGUAUCAGCGAUCGUUGCGGGGACCAAUUUGUUGCCUUCUUACGAAGUCAUAGAAAAUUGCCAGCAGUGAUUAACGAUGACUUGCCCACGCACUCGCCAAACUGACAUGUUCCACUUGCUUAUGUGCCAUCCGGUUCUUGACUAGGUUCUAAAAUAGAGUCCGUAGGUUUAGACUCUGGAGUGCCUUUUUUUUUUUUUUUUUUUUCAUGCAGUGUAGAGAGUAUAUACUAUUGAGUGC
RNAcentral lists this long non-coding RNA (5168 nucleotides) under Populus trichocarpa (black cottonwood). RNAcentral's name for it is "long non-coding RNA (PTRI_LNC002588)". The record is from RNAcentral. Lineage: Eukaryota; Viridiplantae; Streptophyta; Magnoliopsida; Malpighiales; Salicaceae.